UACGAGGGGGGCGAGCGUUGUUCGGAAUUAUUGGGCGUAAAGGGUGCGUAGGCGGUUUGAUAAGUCAUCUGUGAAAUCUCUGGGCUCAACCCAGAGUCUGCAGGCGAAACUGUCGGGCUUGAGUAUGGGAGAGGUGAGUGGAAUUUCCGGUGUAGCGGUGAAAUGCGUAGAUAUCGGAAGGAACACCUGUGGCGAAAAGCGGCUCACUGGACCAUUACUGACGCUGAUGCACGAAAGCUAGGGG
This 244-nucleotide ribosomal RNA is filed under the name uncultured bacterium. RNAcentral's name for it is "partial 16S ribosomal RNA". It matches the Rfam family "Bacterial small subunit ribosomal RNA", at positions 524 to 766 of the family's 1533-position model. The record is from RNAcentral.